This 73-nucleotide transfer RNA is filed under the name Camelus bactrianus (Bactrian camel). It matches the Rfam family "tRNA". Rfam says of the family: Transfer RNA (tRNA) molecules are approximately 80 nucleotides in length. Their secondary structure includes four short double-helical elements and three loops (D, anti-codon, and T loops). The record is from Rfam by way of RNAcentral. RNAcentral also lists the same sequence under 2 other names. Lineage: Eukaryota; Metazoa; Chordata; Mammalia; Artiodactyla; Camelidae.
GAAGGUAUAGCUCAAGUGGUAGAGCACAUGCUCAACAUCCAUGAGGUCCUGGGUUUGAUCCCCAGUACCUCCU